AAACGACUGUAAAAAAUAAAACAUUUUGACAUUCCAGUAUAGGCGAUAGAAAAAUUACUAAGCGCUUUAGGCAAAGUACCGCAAGGAAAUAUGAAAUAGAAAUGAAAUAAUAUUAUAGCCCCAAAUAGCAGAGACAGCCCCUCGUACCUUUCGCAUCAUGGUCUAGCCAGUCCACCGAGCAAAACGAAAAUUUCAGUUCGACCCCCCGAAACUAAGCGAGCUACUUCAAAACAGCCCAAAGAGCCAACCCCUCUCUGUUGCAAAAGAGUGGGAAGAUUUUCAAGUAGAGGUGACAAGCCUACCGAGCUUAGAGAUAGCUGGUUGUUCAGGAAAAGAGUUUCAGCUCUGCCUUAAGUUUUAUUAUUAUACUAAACAAAUUUAUAAGCUUAAGAGUUAUUCAAAUUAGGCACAGCUUAUUUGAGAUAGGAUACAACCUAGCCCAUUGGGUAACACGGGCAAUAAAAAUAAAGUAGGCCCAAGAGCAGCCACCUUCAAAAAAGCGUCAAAGCUUAACUACCUCAGCCCCCAAUUACUAAGAUUUCAACUAACCCCUCAUUCCUACUGAACCGCUUUAUAUUACUAUAAAAAUGAUUAUGCUAGAACAUGUAACAAGAACUCGCCAUUCUCCUCAAUGUAAACAUAAACCAAAAACGGACACUCCAUUGGUAAUUAACGUAAAUGCAAAACCGUAACACACAUACCAGAAAAACUUAUGGCCCCCCAACGUUACCCUAACACCAGAACAUUACAGGAAAGAUUAAAAGAAAGAGAAGGAACUCGGCAAACUUUAGCCCCGCCUGUUUACCAAAAACAUCGCCUCCUGAUUAAAUAUAAGAGGUCCAGCCUGCCCAGUGAUAAUAUUUAACGGCCGCGGUAUACUGACCGUGCGAAGGUAGCAUAAUCACUUGUUCUUUAAAUAGGGACUCGUAUCAACGGCAUCACGAGGGCUAUACUGUCUCCCCUCUCCAAUCAGUGAAACUGAUCCCCCCCGUGAAGAAGCGGGGAUUUGACUAUAAGACGAGAAGACCCCAUGGAGCUUUAAACUCAACAUGUACCUGUAUAACUAUUUAUCAAUUUAACCUCAAGGCCUGCUAGUUAGCUUUCGGCUGGGGGGGCCACGGAGUAAAAUCAAACCUCCACAACAAACGGGCAAAUACCCUUAUCUACGACUGACAAAUCCAAGAAUCACCAAAGUGAUGUUUAAUGAUCCGACAACUCGAUUAAUGAACCAAGUUACCCUGGGGAUAACAGCGCAAUCCGCUUCAAGAGCCCAUAUCGACAAGCGGGUUUACGACCUCGAUGUUGGAUCAGGGUAUCCUAGUGGUGCAACCGCUACUAAUGGUUCGUUUGUUCAACGAUUAAAACCCUA
RNAcentral lists this ribosomal RNA (1369 nucleotides) under Odorrana tiannanensis (Dawei frog). RNAcentral's name for it is "partial 16S ribosomal RNA". It matches the Rfam family "Bacterial large subunit ribosomal RNA", at positions 207 to 2598 of the family's 2925-position model. The record is from RNAcentral. Lineage: Eukaryota; Metazoa; Chordata; Amphibia; Anura; Ranidae.